AUUAGACCCGAACCCGAGUGAUCUAGCCAUGAGCAGGUUGAAGGUGAGGUAACACUCACUGGAGGACCGAACGGGUGCCUGUUGAAAAAGGCUCCGAUGACUUGUGGUUAGGGGUGAAAGGCCAAUCAAACUCGGAAAUAGCUGGUUCUCCGCGAAAUCUAUUUAGGUAGAGCGUCGACCGAAUACCCUCGGGGGUAGAGCACUGGAUGGGUGAUGGGGGCCCACAGCCUUACUGAGCCUAACCAAACUCCGAAUACCGAGGAGCACUAUCUGGCAGACAGACGGCGGGUGCUAACGUCCGUCGUCGAGAGGGAAACAACCCUGACCUCCAGCUAAGGCCCCUAAUUCACGGCUAAGUGGGAAAGCAGGUGGGACGACCAAAACAACCAGGAGGUUGGCUUAGAAGCAGCCAUCCUU
RNAcentral lists this ribosomal RNA (417 nucleotides) under Chloropicon mariensis. RNAcentral describes it as "partial Bacterial large subunit ribosomal RNA". It matches the Rfam family "Bacterial large subunit ribosomal RNA", at positions 708 to 1123 of the family's 2925-position model. The record is from RNAcentral. Lineage: Eukaryota; Viridiplantae; Chlorophyta; Chloropicophyceae; Chloropicales; Chloropicaceae.